Molecule: ribosomal RNA, 454 nt
Filed under: uncultured bacterium
Lineage: Bacteria
Description: bacterial SSU rRNA
Rfam family: Bacterial small subunit ribosomal RNA
Source: RNAcentral
UACGGAAGGCAGCAGUGGGGAAUAUUGCACAAUGGGCGCAAGCCUGAUGCAGCCAUGCCGCGUGUAUGAAGAAGGCCUUCGGGUUGUAAAGUACUUUCAGCGGGGAGGAAGGCGAUGCGGUUAAUAACCGCGUCGAUUGACGUUACCCGCAGAAGAAGCACCGGCUAACUCCGUGCCAGCAGCCGCGGUAAUACGGAGGGUGCAAGCGUUAAUCGGAAUUACUGGGCGUAAAGCGCACGCAGGCGGUCUGUUAAGUCAGAUGUGAAAUCCCCGGGCUUAACCUGGGAACUGCAUUUGAACUGGCAGGCUUGAGUCUUGUAGAGGGGGUAGAAUUCCAGGUGUAGCGGUGAAAUGCGUAGAGAUCUGGAGGAAUACCGGUGGCGAAGGCGGCCCCUGGGACAAAGACUGACGCUCAGGUGCGAAAGCGUGGGGAGCAAACGAGGAUUAGGAUACC